RNAcentral lists this transfer RNA (31 nucleotides) under Uroplatus henkeli. RNAcentral describes it as "partial tRNA-Ser". Lineage: Eukaryota; Metazoa; Chordata; Lepidosauria; Squamata; Gekkonidae. The record is from RNAcentral.
GACGAGUAAAUGAGCUGCUAACUACAUGUAC